UGUGUUGUUGGGUAGGGGAGCGUUCUGUAAGCCUGUGAAGGUGUGUCGUGAGGCAUGCUGGAGGUAUCAGAAGUGCGAAUGCUGACAUAAGUAACGAUAAAGCGGGUGAAAAGCCCGCUCGCCGGAAGACCAAGGGUUCCUGUCCAACGUUAAUCGGGGCAGGGUGAGUCGACCCCUAAGGCGAGGCCGAAAGGCGUAGUCGAUGGGAAACGGGUUAAUAUUCCCGUACUUGGUGUUACUGCGAAGGGGGGACGGAGAAGGCUAUGUUGGCCGGGCGACGGUUGUCCCGGUUUAAGCGUGUAGGCUGGUUUUCCAGGCAAAUCCGGAAAAUCAAGGCUGAGGCGUGACGACGAGGCACUACGGUGCUGAAGCAACAAAUGCCCUGCUUCCAGGAAAAGCCUCUAAGCAUCAGGUAACAUCAAAUCGUACCCCAAACCGACACAGGUGGUCAGGUAGAGAAUACCAAGGCGCUUGAGAGAACUCGGGUGAAGGAACUAGGCAAAAUGGUGCCGUAACUUCGGGAGAAGGCACGCUGACACGUAGGUGAAGUGAUUUACUCAUGGAGCUGAAGUCAGUCGAAGAUACCAGCUGGCUGCAACUGUUUAUUAAAAACACAGCACUGUGCAAACACGAAAGUGGACGUAUACGGUGUGACGCCUGCCCGGUGCCGGAAGGUUAAUUGAUGGGGUCAGCGCAAGCGAAGCUCCUGAUCGAAGCCCCGGUAAACGGCGGCCGUAACUAUAACGGUCCUAAGGUAGCGAAAUUCCUUGUCGGGUAAGUUCCGACCUGCACGAAUGGCGUAAUGAUGGCCAGGCUGUCUCCACCCGAGACUCAGUGAAAUUGAACUCGCUGUGAAGAUGCAGUGUACCCGCGGCAAGACGGAAAGACCCCGUGAACCUUUACUAUAGCUUGACACUGAACAUUGAGCCUUGAUGUGUAGGAUAGGUGGGAGGCUUUGAAGCGUGGACGCCAGUCUGCGUGGAGCCGACCUUGAAAUACCACCCUUUAAUGUUUGAUGUUCUAACGUGGACCCGUAAUCCGGGUUGCGGACAGUGUCUGGUGGGUAGUUUGACUGGGGCGGUCUCCUCCUAAAGAGUAACGGAGGAGCACGAAGGUUGGCUAAUCCUGGUCGGACAUCAGGAGGUUAGUGCAAUGGCAUAAGCCAGCUUGACUGCGAGCGUGACGGCGCGAGCAGGUGCGAAAGCAGGUCAUAGUGAUCCGGUGGUUCUGAAUGGAAGGGCCAUCGCUCAACGGAUAAAAGGUACUCCGGGGAUAACAGGCUGAUACCGCCCAAGAGUUCAUAUCGACGGCGGUGUUUGGCACCUCGAUGUCGGCUCAUCACAUCCUGGGGCUGAAGUAGGUCCCAAGGGUAUGGCUGUUCGCCAUUUAAAGUGGUACGCGAGCUGGGUUUAGAACGUCGUGAGACAGUUCGGUCCCUAUCUGCCGUGGGCGCUGGAGAACUGAGGGGGGCUGCUCCUAGUACGAGAGGACCGGAGUGGACGCAUCACUGGUGUUCGGGUUGUCAUGCCAAUGGCAC
RNAcentral lists this ribosomal RNA (1537 nucleotides) under Salmonella enterica subsp. enterica serovar Bareilly. Its description in RNAcentral is "partial 23S ribosomal RNA". It matches the Rfam family "Bacterial large subunit ribosomal RNA", at positions 1217 to 2738 of the family's 2925-position model. Lineage: Bacteria; Pseudomonadati; Pseudomonadota; Gammaproteobacteria; Enterobacterales; Enterobacteriaceae. The record is from RNAcentral.